UAACUAGCAUAAAUUUGAUAAAUGAACAAAUGAAAGACUUCCCUGAAUUAUGUGGCCAGACCUAUGAAAAGCAGCACUCAACAGUUCCCUUCAAAGCUGUUCCCUCUGUUACUAAAGAAAGCAUUUGGAGGUGGUCUACCAAAGAGCCAGUGUGAUAUGCCAGAAACAGCCCAAGACGUGGAGUAAAAGAACUGGGUUGGGGACCCAGGGUCUCCAAGGUUUAACCUUGAACAGAUCAUCCAACCUAUCUGAGCCUCCAUGAAAUGAAAGUUGUAAAGCCCACAUCACACAGCCACUGUGGAGCUCACAGCUACAAAUCCCUGUCUAGAUGAAUGGAAGUCAUUGUUGUUGCUUCAUAGUCUCAACCUAUCUGAAAGUCUCUGAUGCAGUGUUCAGGUGCCACCUGCAUACCACACGUGGCCAAAGGCAGACUUCACCUGCUCCCUGCUGGUGAAGAGCAGCACUGCACCUCCUGUCUGACACUGGAGCCUC
RNAcentral lists this long non-coding RNA (492 nucleotides) under Homo sapiens (human). Its description in RNAcentral is "HSALNT0015381". The record is from RNAcentral. Lineage: Eukaryota; Metazoa; Chordata; Mammalia; Primates; Hominidae.